UACGGGGGGGGUAAGCGUUGUUCGGAAUUACUGGGCGUAAAGGGCUCGUAGGCGGCCAACUAAGUCAUACGUGAAAUCCCUCAGCUUAACUGGGGAACUGCGUGUGAUACUGGAUGGCUUGGAUUUGGGAGAGGGAUGCGGAAUUCCAGGUGUAGCGGUGAAAUGCGUAGAUAUCUGGAGGAACACCGGUGGCGAAGGCGGCGACCUGGGUCGAGACUGACGCUGAGGCGCGAAAGCGUGGGGAGCAAACAGG
Molecule: ribosomal RNA, 253 nt
Filed under: uncultured bacterium
Lineage: Bacteria
Description: partial 16S ribosomal RNA
Rfam family: Bacterial small subunit ribosomal RNA
Source: RNAcentral